UUCCGUUUCGUCUAAUGGUAGGACGACAGUCUCUGACACUGUAAAUGUAAGUUCGAUUCUUACAACGGAAA
This 71-nucleotide transfer RNA is filed under the name Hominimerdicola alba. RNAcentral describes it as "Ruminococcus albus tRNA_Gln_CTG". It matches the Rfam family "tRNA". From Rfam's summary of the family: Transfer RNA (tRNA) molecules are approximately 80 nucleotides in length. The record is from RNAcentral. Lineage: Bacteria; Bacillati; Bacillota; Clostridia; Eubacteriales; Oscillospiraceae.